This 354-nucleotide long non-coding RNA is filed under the name Salvia miltiorrhiza (redroot sage). Its description in RNAcentral is "long non-coding RNA (SMIL_LNC008664)". Lineage: Eukaryota; Viridiplantae; Streptophyta; Magnoliopsida; Lamiales; Lamiaceae. The record is from RNAcentral.
UCCGACCAAGAAUUAUUGGAAUGUCCCAACUUUUUAAAGUUCAAAUCCAACUCCUUAAAAGUAACUUUGAGAUAGCUCAUAAUCAUCUUUGCAUGAAGACGUAGUGUUUAGGUUGAGUAAAAUAUAAUAAACGAAAAUUACAAAAAAAUAAUAAAAAAUUACAAAAAAAUUAAAGUGGAACAAGAUGGUACACUGCGCACACGCAAAACCUUACACCACAUAAAGGUGAAAAAUAAUCGCACACCAACGGAAUCACUAUUCACACAAAAUAAAAAAAAUUACACCGUAUGUAGACGAAAUUAAACCCAAGAUCUCUCAUAAAUAAGAGUCUUUUGAGUGCCUCCAAUUUUUAAU